RNAcentral lists this ribosomal RNA (253 nucleotides) under uncultured bacterium. RNAcentral's name for it is "partial 16S ribosomal RNA". It matches the Rfam family "Bacterial small subunit ribosomal RNA", at positions 524 to 776 of the family's 1533-position model. The record is from RNAcentral.
UACAGAGGGGGCAAGCGUUGUUCGGAAUUACUGGGCGUAGAGGGCGCGUAGGCGGCCCGCUAAGUCGAACGUGAAAUCCCCGAGCUCAACUCGGGAACUGCGUCCGAUACUGGCGGGCUUGAAUCCGGGAGAGGGAUGCGGAAUUCCAGGUGUAGCGGUGAAAUGCGUAGAUAUCUGGAGGAACACCGGUGGCGAAGGCGGCAUCCUGGACCGGCAUUGACGCUGAGGCGCGAAAGCCAGGGGAGCAAACGGG